AUUGAACGCUGGCGGCAGGCCUAACACAUGCAAGUCGAGCGGAUGAAGGGAGCUUGCUCCUGGAUUCAGCGGCGGACGGGUGAGUAAUGCCUAGGAAUCUGCCUGGUCGUGGGGGAUAACGUCCGGAAACGGGCGCUAAUACCGCAUACGUCCUGAGGGAGAAAGUGGGGGAUCUUCGGACCUCACGCUAUCAGAUGAGCCUAGGUCGGAUUAGCUAGUUGGUGGGGUAAAGGCCUACCAAGGCGACGAUCCGUAACUGGUCUGAGAGGAUGAUCAGUCACACUGGAACUGAGACACGGUCCAGACUCCUACGGGAGGCAGCAGUGGGGAAUAUUGGACAAUGGGCGAAAGCCUGAUCGAGCCAUGCCGCGUGUGUGAAGAAGGUCUUCGGAUUGUAAAGCACUUUAAGUUGGGAGGAAGGGCAGUAAGUUAAUACCUUGCUGUUUUGACGUUACCAACAGAAUAAGCACCGGCUAACUUCGUG
RNAcentral lists this ribosomal RNA (484 nucleotides) under uncultured bacterium. RNAcentral describes it as "partial 16S ribosomal RNA". It matches the Rfam family "Bacterial small subunit ribosomal RNA", at positions 30 to 507 of the family's 1533-position model. The record is from RNAcentral.